AUUUUGGGCCUUACCACCCUGAGCAUUUCCAAUCUUGGAAGCUUAGCAGGGUUGGGCCUUGUUAGUACUUUGUUGGGAAACCACCUUCAACCGGAUGAUCUCCAGCUC
RNAcentral lists this ribosomal RNA (108 nucleotides) under Labrus bergylta (ballan wrasse). Lineage: Eukaryota; Metazoa; Chordata; Actinopteri; Labriformes; Labridae. The record is from RNAcentral.